AAAUUUGAAAUCUGGCGCAAGCCCGAGUUGUAAUUUGUAGAGGAUGCUUCUGGGUAGCGACCGAUCUAAGUUCCUUGGAACAGGACGUCAUAGAGGGUGAGAAUCCCGUACGUGACCGGCCCGCACCCUCCACGUAGCUCCUUCGACGAGUCGAGUUGUUUGGGAAUGCAGCUCUAAAUGGGAGGUAAAUUUCUUCUAAAGCUAAAUACCGGCCAGAGACCGAUAGCGCACAAGUAGAGUGAUCGAAAGAUGAAAAGUACUUUGGAAAGAGAGUUAAAAAGCACGUGAAAUUGUUGAAAGGGAAGCGCCUGCAACCAGACUUCGCGGCAGUGUUCCGCCGGUCUUCUGACCGGUUCAUUCUCUGUCGCGAGGCCAUCAUCGUCUAGGCCCGCCGGAUAAGACCGUAGGAAUGUAGCUCACCUUCGGGGGAGUGUUAUAGCCUCCGGUGAUGCGGCGAGGCUUGGGCGAGGUCCGCGCUUCGGCAAGGAUGAUGGCGUAAUGGUUGUCGGCGGCCCGUCUUGAAACACGGACCAAGGAGUCUAACAUCUAUGCGAGUGUUCGGGUGUCAAACCCCUACGCGUAAUGAAAGUGAACGGAGGUGGGAACCGCAAGGUGCACCAUCGACCGAUCCUGAUGUCCUCGGAUGGAUUUGAGUAAGAGCAUAGCUGUUGGGACCCGAAAGAUGGUGAACUAUGCCUGAAUAGGGUGAAGCCAGAGGAAACUCUGG
This 727-nucleotide ribosomal RNA is filed under the name Distocercosporaster dioscoreae. Its description in RNAcentral is "eukaryotic LSU rRNA". It matches the Rfam family "Eukaryotic large subunit ribosomal RNA", at positions 111 to 867 of the family's 3401-position model. Lineage: Eukaryota; Fungi; Ascomycota; Dothideomycetes; Mycosphaerellales; Mycosphaerellaceae. The record is from RNAcentral.